This is a long non-coding RNA of Malurus melanocephalus (red-backed fairy wren), 2291 nucleotides long. RefSeq lists it as uncharacterized. NCBI's taxonomy places the organism in Eukaryota, Metazoa, Chordata, Aves, Passeriformes, Maluridae. The record is from RefSeq and is a predicted model, not a curated record. The transcript has 3 exons.
AAUAAAAGCAGGUGAAGUGUUUUAAAUUAGGUAUAUAACUGUAAGGAACACAAUCGUACGCAUCAUUUUCUGAUCUUCAUAAUGUCAGCUAAAUGAAAGAUUUUGGAGGUGCUUUGCUUCUAAAGAAAUACCCAGAUGGAUUUUAGCAGCUGCAUUUGGGGAGAGCCCAGUGUAACCCAAGUAAAGAGCACUGACAACAGACAAAGUCCCUGAACCAUUUUACCCUGCUCUGUCCUUCACUCCUGCUCUGCACCACUCAUUCAAAUAACUUCCACAUUUUUUCCCUUCCUUGGACUGCAGCAUUUUUUUUGAAGCAGACAUUGCUUUGGUGCACUGACUUGAACAAAACAAGACAAAAUGAAACCAAAUAAUGCUGAGCACCAGGUACUCACUGCUUGGUAGGAGUCACUUGGCAAUUUUACAGAUGCUGAGAGUCUCAACCUUCAGCCUGCAAGGUUUUUCCUGUAAUAUGAGAAUUUAUCAGCUGGCUUUCAGAGCCACAUAGUCAUUGUUAUUCCAGGCCAAAGCUUAAACUCAAAAUCAGAGCUGCGAGGACUUAGCGUGAGCUUCCAGAGGUCAAACCCUGCAGUCUUUAGCCAGGCAAACUAAACCUCGGAGCCGGUAGGAUUUUGUCUGCGCAGGGACUGCGGCGUUUGCAGAGCACGAGCCAGGCUCCUGCAGAAGCCAAGGCAGGGAAGGAAGGAUAUUCCUGCCCAGAAUUCCAGCCCUGCCUGCCCUGAGCAUGAUGGAGAGCCACAAUCAAAUCAGAGCCGCCCAUCCCAGCUGUCAAGGGCCUCGCCAGGAAGGGAAUUUUGACCUGAGGGUACGGGGGAUCUCAGCAUCCUUACGGAACACGGCAUCCUCCAGCACGGAACCGCCGGAAUCCGAGGGGAACGUCCUCACCCGCCUGCAUGGGGAAGUUGUCAUCCCAUUUUCUGAGGAGCAGAAGUUCUCUCCACCUCAUCCCAUUUUCUGAGGAGCAGAAAUUCUCUCCACCUCAUCCCAUUUUCUGAGGAGCAGAAGUUCUCUCCACCAUGUGUUGCAUGGGAGGCGCGUCUUUGUGGGGAGAGGGCACGGUGACGGUACCAGCAACCAUGAAGCACUCACGGUAUUUUUUUUUACACAGAUUUUUUUUUUCUCCCCUCUCCUCGCACCCAAAUAUUUCUGGUUUUUUGCAGAGAGGGGGGUCAGGUGUUGAAGGUCUCCCCUGGAUGGUUUUUACACUGCUGUGUUUCUAAUAAAGCCAUCAAGAGCGCUACCAGGAGUGCCCUGCGUGGUUUUGAGCAAUAUAAGUCACUGCUUCAGAGGACUCUCUUAACUUGGGGCUGGAUGCACUCAAAAAUCAUCCAAGUUAUUCUCUCCUAAUUCAAGUCAGCUGAGGCAUCAAAAUGUCGGGCAGAUGGACAGGAUCUGCAGCCAGCCUGUUUUCUGCUGUUACUCACAUUGCAGUCAAAACUUACGAGACUUUUAUUGUAAUUGUUUUUUAUUUAAUCAGUGGUAUUUUGAGAAUUUAACCUUUAUGUAAGCAUACUAAAGGAGAUUCCUGUGUGCUUUCUAGUGUAAGAGAUUGUGCUCUAAGGAUCCUAACUUACCCUAAACUGCAUUAAACGGUGUACUUAUCUUAAAAUCGUUGUUUUUCUUUUUUCCUUUCCUUUUCUUUCUCCUCAUAUGUCUGUAAAGAAUAACUGAAUUUAUAGACAGUGGUUAAGGACAGUCACUAUCACAGUUGCUUGGUCAAGAAAGCAAAAUUAUUUGUAUUUGUUGUAUUUUCUCGGACUUAUUAACUUCAAUUGUGCUCCGUGUUAGGGAGACGCGAGAGAACAGAUAAAUAAGCAAAGUACGACCCAAGUUCAUACUUUCUCUUUUAUUUUUGCUGUGGCUUUUGCAGUCGAGGAGAGCCUCUGCCUCUCUCCUCCAGUGGAUGGCAGUUGAGUACCACGGAACGGAGCAGAGCUGACUUGCACCUCAUUGUAACUCUCUCAAGGAGGCAACCGCUGAUUGGAAUUAGCUGUGCUUUGCCUGUGCGAAAUAUCGCUCAGAAAUACCUGAAGAAUUGGAAAAGGAAGAAAUGGAAGGCUUUUCAAUUUAAACUGCUUUGUUAGCAGAGCAGGAGCUGAUCUAAAAGUUUGCUUCAGCAGCUGGGGGUGGGGGGAAAAGAGUCUCAUAUCCAUACACAAGUUUUCAAGUGUUCCUUUUUAUAUGUUAAUCUGAAUUUUCAGUACAUGGAUGCUAAUGAAGAAAAGUUCCUGAUUUUCAUUUUGUUUCCUGACCUCCACAGUCUUUAUGUUUUA